UACGGAGGGUGCGAGCGUUGUUCGGAAUCACUGGGCGUAAAGGGCGUGUAGGCGGUCCGCUAAGUCUGAUGUGAAAGCCCGGGGCUCACCCCCGGAAGUGCAUUGGAAACUGGCGGACUCGAGUCCCGGAGAGGAGAGUGGAACUCCUGGUGUAGCGGUGAAAUGCGUAGAUAUCAGGAGGAACACCGGUGGCGAAGGCGGCUCUCUGGACGGUGACUGACGCUGAGACGCGAAAGCGUGGGGAGCAAACAGG
RNAcentral lists this ribosomal RNA (253 nucleotides) under uncultured bacterium. RNAcentral's name for it is "partial 16S ribosomal RNA". It matches the Rfam family "Bacterial small subunit ribosomal RNA", at positions 524 to 776 of the family's 1533-position model. The record is from RNAcentral.